GACGAACGCUGGCGGCGUGCUUAACACAUGCAAGUCGAACGAAGAGCGAUGGAAGCUUGCUUCUAUCACUCUUAGUGGCGAACGGGUGGGUAACGCGUAAUCAACCUGCCCUUCAGAGGGGGACAACAGUUGGAAACGACUGCUAAUACCGCAUACGAUCUAAUCUCGGCAUCGAGGAUAGAUGAAAGGUGGCCUCUACAUGUAAGCUAUCACUGAAGGAGGGGAUUGCGUCUGAUUAGCUAGUUGGAGGGGUAACGGCCCACCAAGGCGAUGAUCAGUAGCCGGUCUGAGAGGAUGAACGGCCACAUUGGGACUGAGACACGGCCCAGACUCCUACGGGAGGCAGCAGUGGGGAAUCUUCCGCAAUGGACGAAAGUCUGACGGAGCAACGCCGCGUGAGUGAUGACGGCCUUCGGGUUGUAAAGCUCUGUUAAUCGGGACGAAAGGCCUUCUUGCGAAUAGUGAGAAGGAUUGACGGUACCGGAAUAGAAAGCCACGGCUAACUACGUG
Molecule: ribosomal RNA, 510 nt
Filed under: uncultured bacterium
Lineage: Bacteria
Description: partial 16S ribosomal RNA
Rfam family: Bacterial small subunit ribosomal RNA
Source: RNAcentral